This 253-nucleotide ribosomal RNA is filed under the name uncultured bacterium. RNAcentral describes it as "partial 16S ribosomal RNA". It matches the Rfam family "Bacterial small subunit ribosomal RNA", at positions 524 to 776 of the family's 1533-position model. The record is from RNAcentral.
UACGCACCGUCCAAACGUUACUCGGAAUCACUGGGCUUAAAGGGGGCGUAGGCCGCGCGGAGGGUGGGAUGUGAAAUCCCCCGGCUCAACCGGGGAAUAGCGUCCCAAACCGCCGUGCUCGAGGGAGACAGAGGUGAGCGGAACUGAUGGUGGAGCGGUGAAAUGCGUUGAUAUCAUCAGGAACACCAGUGGCGAAAGCGGCUCACUGGGUCUUUCCUAACGCUGAGGCACGAAAGCUAGGGGAGCGAACGGG